GUGAGGAAUUUUCCGCAAUGGGCGAAAGCCUGACGGAGCAAUGCCGCGUGAAGGAUGAAGGCCUAUGGGUUGUAAACUUCUUUUCUCAGAAAAGAAUUAUGACGGUAUCUGAGGAAUAAGCAUCGGCUAACUCUGUGCCAGCAGCCGCGGUAAGACAGAGGAUGCAAGCGUUAUCCGGAAUGAUUGGGCGUAAAGCGUCUGUAGGUUGUUUAAAAAGUAUUCUGUCAAAGAUUAGGGCUUAACCCUAGAUAGGCAGAAUAAACUUUUAAGCUAGAGUUUGGUAGAGGCAGAGGGAAUUCCUGGUGGAGCGGUGAAAUGCGUAGAUAUCGGGAGGAACACCAAAGGCGAAGGCACUCUGCUGGGCCAAUACUAACACUGAGAGACGAAAGCGAGGGGAGCAAAUGGGAUUAGAUACCCCUGUAGUCC
RNAcentral lists this ribosomal RNA (426 nucleotides) under uncultured bacterium. RNAcentral's name for it is "partial 16S ribosomal RNA". It matches the Rfam family "Bacterial small subunit ribosomal RNA", at positions 354 to 796 of the family's 1533-position model. The record is from RNAcentral.